GGGGUAUAAAGUCUCCGCGUUCGGCGCUGGAGCGUUGAGUGUCGCGCUGCGGCACCGCUGGACACGCCGCGCUCGGGGCGCGCUGCCGGGGGACCCCGCGUCGGGCCGGCGGGAACAGACUGGUGGCGUUCCAGGGACUGGGAGCAGAGUCCUUCCCUCCCCAAAGAACCGCGCAGGCUCUCCUGGUUGUUCCUGCCCAGCCAUGCAGUGGGUGGUGAAGCUCUACUUGCUGGGUGCG
Long non-coding RNA from Dermochelys coriacea (leatherback sea turtle), 238 nucleotides. RefSeq lists it as uncharacterized. The record is from RefSeq and is a predicted model, not a curated record. The transcript is spliced from 2 exons. Lineage: Eukaryota; Metazoa; Chordata; Testudines; Dermochelyidae.